Non-coding RNA from Podarcis lilfordi (Lilford's wall lizard), 72 nucleotides. Lineage: Eukaryota; Metazoa; Chordata; Lepidosauria; Squamata; Lacertidae. The record is from the annotation of a GenBank genome assembly.
GGGGCCAUGGCUCAGUGGUAGGGCAUCUGCCUUGCAAGCAGAAGCUUCCAGGUUCAAUCCCAAGAGACUCCA